AUGCUGUACCGCCGGUGGCGGUGACGGCGAACACCAAAGGGCAGCGGAGAUUCUUUACUGAAAAUCAUCAACUGGUCUACAGUUCCUGGGCUAAUGGGUGCUUUCCGCGUUCCCGAGCACCCCUUCGUUCCGACCGCGGGAUUCCUCAUUUCGACGAAAGUGGCCGAGAGUAGUGUAAGAGUGGUAGUAAGUACACGAGGGGAUCGCUAUCUCUCGCCUUUUCGUAACUAGGUACCGUCACCGUAGUGAGUGCUAUGGGAGAUAUACGUGUACGCGCACGUGCCUUUAUGUAAAAGGCCCAAGUAUAUGGUUACGCACGCCUACGUGCGGGCUGCGCUUACAGUUAUGAAGACGACGACGUCUCGAAUUAUUAUUGCAUACCGGCGGAAUGUAAUGUGUCUGUCGUGGACCUAACAAUGUAACAGACAGAUGAAUAACAGAGCGGCAACGCUAAGAAUUCACGUGAUAAAGCUUUAGUUCUCAUUGUUAGAAAUAGUAUAAAAUAUGUUUAUGUUAACUGAUAACAAAUAUUAACGCUUAGUCGCAAUUUCAAACUGCUUUUAGGAUAAAUAGGUGUGUCAUUAACUAUUGCAUAGACAGUAACUUUUUAUAACAUGUU
Long non-coding RNA from Mycetomoellerius zeteki, 619 nucleotides. RefSeq lists it as uncharacterized. NCBI's taxonomy places the organism in Eukaryota, Metazoa, Arthropoda, Insecta, Hymenoptera, Formicidae. The transcript is spliced from 3 exons. The record is from RefSeq and is a predicted model, not a curated record.